RNAcentral lists this long non-coding RNA (848 nucleotides) under Salmo salar (Atlantic salmon). Its description in RNAcentral is "lncRNA (ENSSSAG00000119775.1)". Lineage: Eukaryota; Metazoa; Chordata; Actinopteri; Salmoniformes; Salmonidae. The record is from RNAcentral.
GUUUCCAAGCGCGUGGAGGAAAGCGCAUUCUUUGUUAUUUAUCUCCGGUAAAGACAAUAACGAUUCUCCGUCUUAAAUUUUAUUGUUUAUUUGCGUAUUAUGGUACCUAAGGUUUGAUUAUAAACGUUGAUUGACUUGUUUGGAUAGGUUUAUUGGUAACAUUUAGGAUUCAUUUUGUAUGCAUUUUGAAGGAGGGAAAACGUUGGAUUAUUGACUGAAGCGCACCAGCUAAACUGAGUUUUUAUGGAUAUAAGGAAGGACUUUAUUGAACAAAAGGACCAUUUGGGACCAAAAGGACCAUUUGUAAUGAGACCUUUUGGAGUGCCAACAGAAGAAGAUCUUCAAAGGACCUGAGCCCUAGGACCAUGCCUCAGGACUACCUGGCUUGAUGACUCCUUGCUGUCCCCAGUUCACCUGGCCGUGCUGCUGCUCCAGUUCCAACUGUUCUGCCUGCAGCUAUGGAACCCUGACCUGUUCACCGGACGUGCUACCUGUCCCAGACCUGUUGUCCCAGACCUGCUGGAACCCUGACCUAUUCACCGGACGUGCUACCUGUCCCAGACCUGCUGUUUUCAACUCUCUAGAGACAGCAGGAGCGGUGGAGAUACUCUCAAAGAUCGCCUAUGAAAAAGCCAACUGACACUUACUCUUGUGUUACUGACUUGUUGCACCCUCGACAACUACUAUGAUUAUUAUUAUUUGACAAUGCUGGUCAUUUAUGAACAUUUGAACAUCUAGGCCAUGUGCUGUUAUAAUCUCCACCCGGCACAGCCAGAAGAGGACUGGCCACCCCUCAUAGCCUGGUUCCUCUCUAGGUUUCUUCCUAGGUUUUGGCCUUUCUAGGGAGU